This 497-nucleotide ribosomal RNA is filed under the name uncultured bacterium. RNAcentral describes it as "partial 16S ribosomal RNA". It matches the Rfam family "Bacterial small subunit ribosomal RNA", at positions 28 to 507 of the family's 1533-position model. The record is from RNAcentral.
GAUGAACGCUGGCGGCGUGCCUAAUACAUGCAAGUCGAGCGAACGGACGAGAAGCUUGCUUCUCUGAUGUUAGCGGCGGACGGGUGAGUAACACGUGGAUAACCUACCUAUAAGACUGGGAUAACUUCGGGAAACCGGAGCUAAUACCGGAUAAUAUUUUGAACCGCAUGGUUCAAAAGUGAAAGACGGUCUUGCUGUCACUUAUAGAUGGAUCCGCGCUGCAUUAGCUAGUUGGUAAGGUAACGGCUUACCAAGGCAACGAUGCAUAGCCGACCUGAGAGGGUGAUCGGCCCCACUGGAACUGAGACACGGUCCCGACUCCUACGGGAGGCAGCAGUAGGGAAUCUUCCGGAAUGGGCGAAAGCCUGACGGAGCAACGCCGCGUGAGUGAUGAAGGUCUUCGGAUCGUAAAACUCUGUUAUUAGGGAAGAACAUAUGUGUAAGUAACUGUGCACAUCUUGACGGUACCUAAUCAGAAAGCCACGGCUAACUACGUG